This 253-nucleotide ribosomal RNA is filed under the name uncultured bacterium. RNAcentral describes it as "partial 16S ribosomal RNA". It matches the Rfam family "Bacterial small subunit ribosomal RNA", at positions 524 to 776 of the family's 1533-position model. The record is from RNAcentral.
UACGAAGGGUGCAAGCGUUACUCGGAAUUACUGGGCGUAAAGCGUGCGUAGGUGGUUUGUUAAGUCUGAUGUGAAAGCCCUGGGCUCAACCUGGGAAUUGCAUUGGAUACUGGCAGGCUAGAGUGCGGUAGAGGAUGGCGGAAUUCCCGGUGUAGCAGUGAAAUGCGUAGAGAUCGGGAGGAACAUCUGUGGCGAAGGCGGCCAUCUGGACCAGCACUGACACUGAGGCACGAAAGCCAGGGGAGCAAACGGG